Molecule: ribosomal RNA, 368 nt
Filed under: Tryblionella compressa
Lineage: Eukaryota; Bacillariophyta; Bacillariophyceae; Bacillariales; Bacillariaceae
Description: partial Bacterial large subunit ribosomal RNA
Rfam family: Bacterial large subunit ribosomal RNA
Source: RNAcentral
UCGGUGAAAUACCACUCUUACCAUAGUGGAUUCCUUAACUUCGGACCCUGAUCGGGUUCAGGGACAGUGCCUGAUGGGUAGUUUAACUGGGGCGGUUGCCUCCUAAAGAGUAACGGAGGCGCCCAAAGGUUCCCUCAGCCUGGUUGGCAAUCAGGUGUCGAGUGUAAGUGCACAAGGGAGCUUGACUGUGAGACUGACACGUCGAGCAGGGACGAAAGUCGGGACUAGUGAUCCGGCACCGGCAUGUGGAAGCGGUGUCGCUCAACGGAUAAAAGGUACCCCGGGGAUAACAGGCUGAUCUUCCCCAAGAGUCCAUAUCGACGGGAUGGUUUGGCACCUCGAUGUCGGCUCGUCGCAUCCUGGGGCUG